CCUACGGGAGGCAGCAGUAGGGAAUAUUGCUCAAUGGGGGAAACCCUGAAGCAGCAACGCCGCGUGGAGGAUGACGGUUUUCGGAUUGUAAAACCCUUUUGUUCGGGGAGCAAAUGCCGCUAUCUAACGAAUAAACACCGGCUCACUCCGUGACAGCAGCCGCGGUAAUCCGGCGGGUGCCAGCGUUACUAGGAAUCACUGGUCGUAAAGCGCGCGUAGGCGGGCUAGCAGGUCAGAUGUGACAGCCUAUGGCUUAACCGUAGAACUGCAGUUGACACUGGAAGGCGUGAGUUUAGGAGAGGUGGGCGGAAUUCAUGGGUGAGCGGUGAAAUGCGUAGAUAUCAUGAAGAAUGCUGAUCGCGAAGGCAAGUGUCCGGGGUGCAACUGAAGCUGAGGCUCGAAAGUGUGGGUAUCAAACAGGAUUAGAUACCCUUGUAGUC
This 440-nucleotide ribosomal RNA is filed under the name uncultured bacterium. RNAcentral describes it as "partial 16S ribosomal RNA". It matches the Rfam family "Bacterial small subunit ribosomal RNA", at positions 338 to 795 of the family's 1533-position model. The record is from RNAcentral.